UGACGUUGCGGCGGACGGCUGAGUAACACGUGGGUAACCUACCUAUAAGACUGGGAUAACUUCGGGAAACCGGAGCUAAUACCGGAUAACAUUUGGAACCGCAUGGUUCUAAAGUGAAAGAUGGUUUUGCUAUCACUUAUAGAUGGACCCGCGCCGUAUUAGCUAGUUGGUAAGGUAACGGCUUACCAAGGCGACGAUACGUAGCCGACCUGAGAGGGUGAUCGGCCACACUGGAACUGAGACACGGUCCAGACUCCUACGGGAGGCAGCAGUAGGGAAUCUUCCGCAAUGGGCGAAAGCCUGACGGAGCAACGCCGCGUGAGUGAUGAAGGGUUUCGGCUCGUAAAACUCUGUUAUUAGGGAAGAACAAAUGUGUAAGUAACUGUGCACGUCUUGACGGUACCUAAUCAGAAAGCCACGGCUAACUACGUGCCAGCAGCCGCGGUAAUACGUAGGUGGCAAGCGUUAUCCGGAAUUAUUGGGCGUAAAGCGCGCGUAGGCGGUUUCUUAAGUCUGAUGUGAAAGCCCACGGCUCAACCGUGGAGGGUCAUUGGAAACUGGGAAACUUGAGUGCAGAAGAGGAAAGUGGAAUUCCAUGUGUAGCGGUGAAAUGCGCAGAGAUAUGGAGGAACACCAGUGGCGAAGGCGACUUUCUGGUCUGUAACUGACGCUGAUGUGCGAAAGCGUGGGGAUCAAACAGGAUUAGAUACCCUGGUAGUCCACGCCGUAAACGAUGAGUGCUAAGUGUUAGGGGGUUUCCGCCCCUUAGUGCUGCAGCUAACGCAUUAAGCACUCCGCCUGGG
Molecule: ribosomal RNA, 803 nt
Filed under: Staphylococcus sp. 33
Lineage: Bacteria; Bacillati; Bacillota; Bacilli; Caryophanales; Staphylococcaceae
Description: bacterial SSU rRNA
Rfam family: Bacterial small subunit ribosomal RNA
Source: RNAcentral